RNAcentral lists this microRNA precursor (60 nucleotides) under Lepisosteus oculatus (spotted gar). Its description in RNAcentral is "Loc-Mir-130-P1a_pre stem-loop". The record is from RNAcentral. Lineage: Eukaryota; Metazoa; Chordata; Actinopteri; Semionotiformes; Lepisosteidae.
GCUCUUUUUCUGUUGUACUACUGUGAAAAACAGAUGAGCAGUGCAAUAUUAAAAGGGCAU